AGUCUUAUAUUUUAUGAAAAUUAUUAAAUUGCAAGUUUAAAGAAGGCUAUGUCCUAAGACUU
Molecule: transfer RNA, 62 nt
Filed under: Argas lagenoplastis
Lineage: Eukaryota; Metazoa; Arthropoda; Arachnida; Ixodida; Argasidae
Description: tRNA-Cys
Source: RNAcentral